UACGAAGGGGGCUAGCGUUGCUCGGAAUCACUGGGCGUAAAGGGUGCGUAGGCGGGUUAUUAAGUCAGAGGUGAAAUCCUGGAGCUCAACUCCAGAACUGCCUUUGAUACUGAUAGUCUUGAGUAUGGGAGAGGUGAGUGGAACUGCGAGUGUAGAGGUGAAAUUCGUAGAUAUUCGGAGGAACACCAGUGGCGAAGGCGGCUCACUGGUCCAUUACUGACGCUGAGGUGCGAAAGCGUGGGGAGCAAACAGG
This 253-nucleotide ribosomal RNA is filed under the name uncultured bacterium. RNAcentral's name for it is "partial 16S ribosomal RNA". It matches the Rfam family "Bacterial small subunit ribosomal RNA", at positions 524 to 776 of the family's 1533-position model. The record is from RNAcentral.